This 397-nucleotide ribosomal RNA is filed under the name uncultured bacterium. Its description in RNAcentral is "partial 16S ribosomal RNA". It matches the Rfam family "Bacterial small subunit ribosomal RNA", at positions 523 to 918 of the family's 1533-position model. The record is from RNAcentral.
AUACGUAGGUGACAAGCGUUAUCCGGAUUUACUGGGCGUAAAGGGCGUGUAGGCGGUCUUGCAAGUCAGAAGUGAAAUUCCUGAGCUCAACUCGGGCGCUGCUUCUGAAACUGCAGGACUUGAGUGCUGGAGGGGAUAGCGGAAUUCCUAGUGGAGCGGUAAAAUGCGCAGAUAUUAGGAAGAACACCGGUGGCGAAGGCGGCUAUCUGGACAGUAACUGACGCUGAGGCGCGAAAGCGUGGGGAGCAAACAGGAUUAGAUCCCCUGGUAGUCCACGCCGUAAACGAUGAAUACUAGGUGUAGGGGGUAUCGACUCCCUUUGUGCCGCAGUUAACACAAUAAGUAUUCCGCCUGGGGAGUACGGCCGCAAGGUUGAAACUCAAAUGAAUUGACGGGG